UACGUAGGGUGCAAGCGUUAUCCGGAAUUAUUGGGCGUAAAGAGCUCGUAGGCGGUUUGUCGCGUCUGCUGUGAAAACUGGAGGCUCAACCUCCAGCCUGCAGUGGGUACGGGCAAACUAGAGUGCGGUAGGGGAGAUUGGAAUUCCUGGUGUAGCGGUGGAAUGCGCAGAUAUCAGGAGGAACACCGAUGGCGAAGGCAGAUCUCUGGGCCGUAACUGACGCUGAGGAGCGAAAGCAUGGGGAGCGAACCGG
This 253-nucleotide ribosomal RNA is filed under the name uncultured bacterium. RNAcentral's name for it is "partial 16S ribosomal RNA". It matches the Rfam family "Bacterial small subunit ribosomal RNA", at positions 524 to 776 of the family's 1533-position model. The record is from RNAcentral.